GAUGAACGCUGGCGGCGUGCUUAACACAUGCAAGUCGAACGGAUUUAAUAGAAAGCUUGCUUUCGGUUAAAUUAGUGGCGGACGGGUGAGUAACGCGUGGAUAACCUGCCGUAUACAGGGGGAUAACACUUAGAAAUAGGUGCUAAUACCGCAUAAGCGCACAGUUUCGCAUGAGACAGUGUGAAAAACUCCGGUGGUAUACGAUGGAUCCGCGUCUGAUUAGGUAGUUGGUGGGGUAACGGCCCACCAAGCCGAUGAUCAGUAGCCGGCCUGAGAGGGUGAACGGCCACAUUGGGACUGAGACACGGCCCAAACUCCUACGGGAGGCAGCAGUGGGGAAUAUUGGGCAAUGGGGGAAACCCUGACCCAGCAACGCCGCGUGGAGGAAGAAGGUUUUCGGAUUGUAAACUUCUGUCCUUGGUGACGAAGGAAGUGACGGUAGCCAAGGNGGAAAGCCCCGGCUAACUACGUG
This 472-nucleotide ribosomal RNA is filed under the name uncultured bacterium. RNAcentral's name for it is "bacterial SSU rRNA". It matches the Rfam family "Bacterial small subunit ribosomal RNA", at positions 28 to 507 of the family's 1533-position model. The record is from RNAcentral.